RNAcentral lists this ribosomal RNA (282 nucleotides) under uncultured bacterium. RNAcentral describes it as "partial 16S ribosomal RNA". It matches the Rfam family "Bacterial small subunit ribosomal RNA", at positions 333 to 631 of the family's 1533-position model. The record is from RNAcentral.
UUUUCCCUACGGGGGGCAGCAGUGGGGGAUAUUGCACAAUGGGGGAAACCCUGAUGCAGCGACGCCGCGUGUGGGAAGACGGUCCUCUGGAUUGUAACCCACUGUCCCCAGGGACGAAGAUGACGGUACCUGGGGAGGAAGCUCCGGCUAACUACGUGCCAGCAGCCGCGGUAAUACGUAGGGGGCAAGCGUUAUCCGGAUUUACUGGGUGUAAAGGGAGCGUAGACGGCCAGACAAGUCAGAAGGGAAAGCCCAGGGCUCAACCCUGGGACUGCUUUUGAA